Carassius auratus (goldfish) is the source of this 2808-nucleotide long non-coding RNA. The record is from Ensembl. Lineage: Eukaryota; Metazoa; Chordata; Actinopteri; Cypriniformes; Cyprinidae.
AUGACCCCAACUAAGCAAGUCAGAGGCGACAGCGGCAAGGAACCAAAAACUCCAUCGGUGACAGAAUGGAGAAAAAAAUCAGGCUCAGUCGGGGGGUUGGGACAGUUCUCCUCUGACCAGACAAAACCAGCAGUUCAAUUCCAGGCUGCAGCAAAGUCAGACUGUGUUUGUUUUUUGUUUGUUUUUAACCAUAUAUUAGAUAUCAUAACAGCAAAAAAAGUACUAAUGAAAUAUAUCCGAUUUAUUAGUUGCUUUAUAAUAAAUAAAUCAAAUUGCACAUUUUGCAUUACCAUCAAUCCAGAAAGAUCUUUUUUGGGCCUGUAUUGUGAAGAAGAUCUCUGUUUCUCUGUGGGAAUAGUGCACAGGCUCAUGGGAACACAGCGUUGAGUAUUUAGACAUCAUGAUUCGUAUAAAGUUUUCAUUCCACUCUAACGCGUAAGACCAACCAUUAUAAUAGCAAAACAAAGUAUAGUAAAAUAAGUUGUAUAGAUUUCUAUCCAUCAACAUAUUGGGAGAGCACGGAUUAUUGAAUAUCUCUUCACAACCGCUUCACAUCACUGUUUAACAAAGAGGACAUUUAAAAAGGAAUUAUUCAGCUAAUACUGUCAAAUGUAUCGUACUGUAGUAUAGCCUACUGUAUUGGAUUGAUCAACAUGAAGAAUCUUUCUGCUCAAAAUAUUUUAUUCACAGACUUCAAACUGAAUGGUUUCUACAGUCUAGGGGAAUGGAGGCCUUUUUUAUUUAUCCCCUUCUUUUUGAUGUUUUUAUUGUCCAUCACUGCAAAUUCUAUUCUUUUAUAUUUAAUCAUAGGUCAAAAGUCUCUGCAUUCUCCCAUGUAUGUACUAAUAGGUUUAAUGGCUGUUGUAGACUUAAUCUUACCUAUAUUUUUUGUACCCAACAUGCUUGUUAGCUUUCUAUUCAACUGAGGUGGGAUAUCCCUAGUUGGUUGUUUGAUACAAAUGUUUUCAAUCAAUCAAUCACCUUUAUUUAUAUAGUGCUUUAAACAAAAUACAUUGCGUCAAAGCACUGAACAACAUUCAUUUGGAAAACAGUGUCUCAAUAAUGCAAAAUGAUAGUUAAAGGCAUUGAAUUCAGUUAUGUCAUCUCUGUUCAGUUUAAAUAGUGUCUGUGCAUUUAUUUGCAAUCAAGUCAACGAUAUCGCUGUAGAUGAAGUGACCCCAACUAAGCAAGCCAGAGGCGACAGCGGCAAGGAACCGAAACUCCAUCGGUGACAGAAUGGAGAAAAAAAACCUUGGGAGAAACCAGCCUCAGUUGGGGGGCCAGUUCUACUCUGACCAGACGAAACCAGUAGUUCAAUUCCAGGCUGCAGCAAAGUCAGAUUGUGCAGAAGAAUCAUCUGUUUCCUGUGGUCUUGUCCUGGUGCUCCUCUGAGACAAGGUCUUUACAGGGGAUCUGUAUCUAGGGCUCUAGUUGUCCUGAUCUCCGCUAUCUUUCAGGGCAGUAGAGGUCCUUUCUAGGUGCUGAUCCACCAUCUGGUCUGGAUACGUACUGGAUCCGGGCGACUGCAGUGACCCUCUGAUCUGGAUACAGACUGGAUCUGGUGGAAAGUAAUGAUGUAGAAAGUACGGUGUUAUGUGAAGUGUUUCCGGUUCCAGUUUACCUAAUUAAUGCAGCCUAAAAAUCCUUUAACGGAUUUGGAUAUUAAAAGCAUAUUAGUAUGUUAUGUGUAUGCCAGGUUAAAGAGAUGGGUCUUUAAUCUAGAUUUAAACUGCAAGAGUGUGUCUGCUUCCCGAACAAUGUUAGGUAGGUUAUUCCAGAGUUUAGGCGCCAAAUAGGAAAAGGAUCUGCUGCCCGCAGUUGAUUUUGAUAUUCUAGGUAUUAUCAAAUUGCCUGAGUUUUGAGAACGUAGCGGACGUAGAGGAGUAUAAUGUAAAAGGAGCUCAUUCAAAUACUGAGGUGUAAACCAUUCAGGGCUUUAUAAGUAAUAAGCAAUAUUUUAAAAUCUAUACGAUGUUUGAUAGGGAGCCAGUGCAGUGUGGACAGGAACGGGCUAAUAUGGUCAUACUUCCUGGUUCUAGUAAGAACUCUUGCUGCUGCAUUUUGGACUAGCUGUAGUUUGUUUACCAAGCGUGCAGAACAACCACCCAAUUAAGCAUUACAAUAGUCUAACCUUGAAGUCAUAAAUGCAUGGAUUAACAUUUCUGCAUUUGACAUUGAGAGCAUAGGCCGUAAUUUAGAUAUAUUUUUGAGAUGGAAAAAUGCAGUUUUACAAAUGCUAGAAACGUGGCUUUCUAAGGAAAGAUUGCGAUCAAGUACCACACCUAGGUUCCUAACUGAUGACGAAGAAUUGACAGAGCAACCAUCAAGUCUUAGACAGUGUUCUAGGUUAUUACAAGCAGAGUUUUUAGGCCCUAUGAUUAACAUCUCUGUUUUUUCUGAAUUUAGCAGUAAGAAAUUACUCGUCAUCCAAUUUUUUAUAUCGACUAUGCAUUCCAUUAGUUUUUCAAAUUGGUGUGUUUCACCGGGCUGCGAGGAAAUAUAGAGCUGAGUAUCAUCAGCAUAACAGUGAAAGCUAACACCAUGUUUCCUGAUGAUAUCUCCCAAGGGUAACAUAUAAAGCGUGAAGAGUAGCGGCCCUAGUACUGAGCCUUGAGGUACUCCAUACUGCACUUGUGAUCGAUAUGAUACAUCUUCAUUCACUGCUACGAACUGAUGGCGGUCAUAUAAGUACGAUUUAAACCAUGCUAAUGCACUUCCACUGAUGCCAACAAAGUGUUCAAGUCUAUGCAAAAGAAUGUUGUGGUCAAUUGGGUCAAACGCAUCACUAAGAUCCAAUAAAACUAAUAG